CCCGUCCCUCCGGCCCGCCGCCCCUCGGGCCUCGGCCCGGGCGGGCGGAGGACACAUCCCGGCGCGACACGCGCCAAGGAACGACCGUCGGAACAGGGCUCCGCCCCCGCCCGCGCGGCGGGGCGGCGCCUCGCUCUAACUCGAAACUGUACGACUCUCGGCAACGGAUAUCUCGGCUCUCGCAUCGAUGAAGAACGUAGCGAAAUGCGAUACUUGGUGUGAAUUGCAGAAUCCCGCGAACCAUCGAGUCUUUGAACGCAAGUUGCGCCCGAGGCCAUCCGGCCGAGGGCACGCCUGCCUGGGCGUCACGCAUCGCGUCGCUCCGCGCCCCACGGGCGCCGGACGCGGAGAUUGGCCCCCCGCGCGCGAGCGCGGCGGGCCUAAGCACGGGCCGCCGGCGGGGACGGGCACGGCGAGUGGUGGACGGUAGCGCGGACUCCGCGCACGCGAGCCGGACGCCGUGGCACCCGGCCCCAGCGGCACGGGGCCCUUCGGAACCCCACAGGGCGCGCGAGCCCUCCCCCGGGACGGGCGAGCCGCCUCGCACCGCGACCCCAGGUCAGGCGGGGCCACCCGCCGAGUUUAAGCAUAUCAAUAAGCGGAGGAGAAGAAACUUACGAGGAUUCCCC
This 629-nucleotide ribosomal RNA is filed under the name Smilax aspera. RNAcentral describes it as "eukaryotic LSU rRNA". The stretch from base 153 to 308 matches the Rfam family "5.8S ribosomal RNA". The record is from RNAcentral. Lineage: Eukaryota; Viridiplantae; Streptophyta; Magnoliopsida; Liliales; Smilacaceae.